Molecule: ribosomal RNA, 468 nt
Filed under: uncultured bacterium
Lineage: Bacteria
Description: partial 16S ribosomal RNA
Rfam family: Bacterial small subunit ribosomal RNA
Source: RNAcentral
GACGAACGCUGGCGGCGUGCUUAACACAUGCAAGUCGAACGGAAAGGCCCUGCUUUUGUGGGGUGCUCGAGUGGCGAACGGGUGAGUAACACGUGAGUAACCUGCCCUUGACUUUGGGAUAACUUCAGGAAACUGGGUCUAAUCCCGGAUAGGAGCUCCUGCUGCAUGGUGGGGGUUGGAUAGUUUCGGCGGUUGGGGAUGGACUCGCGGCUUAUCAGCUUGUUGGUGGGGUAGUGGCUUACCAAGGCUUUGACGGGUAGCCGGCCUGAGAGGGUGACCGGCCACAUUGGGACUGAGAUACGACCCAGACUCCUACGGGAGGCAGCAGUGGGGAAUAUUGCACAAGGGGCGGAAGCCUGAUGCAGCAACGCCGCGUGCGGGAUGACGGCCUGCGGGUUGUAAUCCGCUUUCGCCUGUGACGAAGCGUGAGUGACGGUAAUGGGUAAAGAAGCACCGGCUAACUACGUG